This 555-nucleotide ribosomal RNA is filed under the name Diaporthe sp. HGGJ-23. RNAcentral describes it as "eukaryotic LSU rRNA". The stretch from base 181 to 334 matches the Rfam family "5.8S ribosomal RNA". Lineage: Eukaryota; Fungi; Ascomycota; Sordariomycetes; Diaporthales; Diaporthaceae. The record is from RNAcentral.
GGGGCAGCUUGGACGCGCUUCGGCGCACCCAGAGACCCUUUGUGAACUCAUACCUUACUGUUGCCUCGGCGCUGGCCGGCCUCCUCACCGAGGCCCCCUGGAAACAGGGAGCAGCCCGCCGGCGGCCAAACAAACUCUUGUUUCUUAGUGAAUCUCUGAGUAAAAAACAUAAUGAAUCAAAACUUUCAACAACGGAUCUCUUGGUUCUGGCAUCGAUGAAGAACGCAGCGAAAUGCGAUAAGUAAUGUGAAUUGCAGAAUUCAGUGAAUCAUCGAAUCUUUGAACGCACAUUGCGCCCUCUGGUAUUCCGGAGGGCAUGCCUGUUCGAGCGUCAUUUCAACCCUCAAGCCUAGCUUGGUGUUGGGGCACCGCCUUUGCAAAAGGGCGGGCCCUGAAAUCUAGUGGCGAGCUCGCCAGGACCCCGAGCGUAGUAGUUAUAUCUCGUUCUGGAAGGCCCUGGCGGUGCCCUGCCGUUAAACCCCCAACUUCUGAAAUUUUGACCUCGGAUCAGGUAGGAAUACCCGCUGAACUUAAGCAUAUCAAUAAGCGGAGGAA